AUGGCAACGCUGCUGGAGCUUAACCACGAUGACUACUUUGUGGACCAGCCUGGGGAGAAGGCUGAAACUAACGUGAGAUGCAGCUACUACCCACAGUGUCCAAGGCCAGAGCUUGUAUUUGGUCUCAAGCCUCACUGCGAUGGAACCAUUCUUACAAUUCUCAUGGUCGAUGACAACGUCGGUGGCCUUCAAGUUCUAAGAGAUGGGGUGUGGUGGGAUGUACCGACCAUACCUCGCACCCUCCUGGUCAUUAUAGGAGAUCAGACUGAGAUAUUGAGCAAUGGGUUCUUCACUAGCCCUGUGCAUAGGGUCGUGACAAAUGCAAAGAAAGAGAGGCUAUCGGUGGCUCUAGACUAUGUUGACCACGAGAGAGAAAUCGAGCCAUCGCCAUAG
Molecule: ribosomal RNA, 393 nt
Filed under: Triticum aestivum (bread wheat)
Lineage: Eukaryota; Viridiplantae; Streptophyta; Magnoliopsida; Poales; Poaceae
Description: partial small subunit ribosomal RNA
Source: RNAcentral